CGGGAACUCGUAAUCGAGACUGCCGGGGAUAACUCGGAGGAAGGUGGGGACGACGUCAAAUCAUCAUGCCCCUUAUGUCUUGGGCUACACACGUGCUACAAUGGCCGGUACAAAGGGCUGCGAAGCCGCAAGGUGGAGCGAAUCCCAUAAAGCCGGUCCCAGUUUCGGAUCGUGGGCUGCAACCCGCCCACGUGAAGCCGGAGUUGCUAGUAAUCGCGAAUCAGCAUGUCGCGGUGAAUGCGUUCCCGGGUCCUU
This 255-nucleotide ribosomal RNA is filed under the name uncultured Lachnospiraceae bacterium. RNAcentral describes it as "partial 16S ribosomal RNA". It matches the Rfam family "Bacterial small subunit ribosomal RNA", at positions 1132 to 1382 of the family's 1533-position model. The record is from RNAcentral. Lineage: Bacteria; Bacillati; Bacillota; Clostridia; Lachnospirales; Lachnospiraceae.